GACGAACGCUGGCGGCGUGCUUAACACAUGCAAGUCGAACGGAAAGGCCCUGCUUUUGUGGGGUGCUCGAGUGGCGAACGGGUGAGUAACACGUGAGUAACCUGCCCUUGACUUUGGGAUAACUUCAGGAAACUGGGGCUAAUACCGGAUAGGAGCUCCUGCUGCAUGGUGGGGGUUGGAAAGUUUCGGCGGUUGGGGAUGGACUCGCGGCUUAUCAGCUUGUUGGUGGGGGAGUGGCUUACCAAGGCUUUGACGGGUAGCCGGCCGGGGAGGGUGACCGGCCACAUUGGGACUGAGAUACGGCCCAGACUCCUGCGGGAGGCAGCAGUGGGGAAUAUUGCACAAUGGGCGGAAGCCUGAUGCAGCAACGCCGCGUGCGGGAUGACGGCCUUCGGGUUGUAAACCGCUUUCGCCUGUGACGAAGCGUGAGUGACGGUAAUGGGUAAAGAAGCACCGGCUAACUACGUG
Molecule: ribosomal RNA, 468 nt
Filed under: uncultured bacterium
Lineage: Bacteria
Description: partial 16S ribosomal RNA
Rfam family: Bacterial small subunit ribosomal RNA
Source: RNAcentral